UAGGGAAUCUUCGGCAAUGGGGGGAACCCUGACCGAGCAACGCCGCGUGAGUGAAGAAGGUUUUCGGAUCGUAAAGCUCUGUUGUUAAGGAAGAACGAGUGUGAGAAUGGAAAGUUCAUGCUGUGACGGUACUUAACCAGAAAGGGACGGCUAACUACGUGCCAGCAGCCGCGGUAAUACGUAGGUGGCAAGCGUUGUCCGGAUUUAUUGGGCGUAAAGCGAGCGCAGGCGGUCAAUUAAGUCUGAUGUGAAAGCCCACGGCUCAACCGUGGAGGGUCAUUGGAAACUGGAAAACUUGAGUGCAGAAGAGGAAAGUGGAAUUCCAUGUGUAGCGGUGAAAUGCGCAGAGAUAUGGAGGAACACCAGUGGCGAAGGCGACUUUCUGGUCUGUAACUGACGCUGAUGUGCGAAAGCGUGGGGAUCAAACAGG
Molecule: ribosomal RNA, 430 nt
Filed under: Bacteroidota bacterium
Lineage: Bacteria; Pseudomonadati; Bacteroidota
Description: Bacteroidetes bacterium partial 16S ribosomal RNA
Rfam family: Bacterial small subunit ribosomal RNA
Source: RNAcentral